This 468-nucleotide ribosomal RNA is filed under the name uncultured bacterium. RNAcentral's name for it is "partial 16S ribosomal RNA". It matches the Rfam family "Bacterial small subunit ribosomal RNA", at positions 28 to 507 of the family's 1533-position model. The record is from RNAcentral.
GAUGAACGCUGGCGGCGUGCUUAACACAUGCAAGUCGAACGGUGAAGGCGGAGCUUGCUCUGCUGGAUCAGUGGCGAACGGGUGAGUAACACGUGAGCAAUCUGCCCCUGACUCUGGGAUAAGCGCUGGAAACGGCGUCUAAUACUGGAUACGAGCUGCGAAGGCAUCUUCAGCAGCUGGAAAGAACUUCGGUCAGGGAUGAGCUCGCGGCCUAUCAGCUUGUUAGUGAGGUAACGGCUGACCAAGGCUACGACGGGUAGCCGGCCUGAGAGGGUGACCAGCGACACUGGGACUAAGACACGGACCAGACGGCUACGGGAGGCAGCAGUGGAGAAUAUGGCACAAUGGGCGAAAGCCUGAUGCAGCAGCGCCGCGUGAGGGACGACGGCCUUCGGGGGGUAAACAUCUGUUAGCAGGGAAGAAGCGAAAGUGACGGUACCUGCAGAAAAAGCGCCGGCUAACUACGUG